This 253-nucleotide ribosomal RNA is filed under the name uncultured bacterium. Its description in RNAcentral is "partial 16S ribosomal RNA". It matches the Rfam family "Bacterial small subunit ribosomal RNA", at positions 524 to 776 of the family's 1533-position model. The record is from RNAcentral.
UACGGGGGGGGCUAGCGUUGUUCGGAAUUACUGGGCGUAAAGGGCGCGUAGGCGGUCUACUAAGUUGGAUGUGAAAACUCUGGGCUUAACCCAGAGCCUGCAUUCAAAACUGAUAGGCUGGAGUUCUGGAGGGGAUAGCGGAAUUCCUGGUGUAGCGGUGAAAUGCGUAGAUAUCAGGAGGAACACCGGUGGCGAAGGCGGCUAUCUGGACAGAAACUGACGCUGAGGCGCGAAAGCUAGGGGAGCAAACAGG